Molecule: long non-coding RNA, 714 nt
Organism: Eptesicus fuscus (big brown bat)
Lineage: Eukaryota; Metazoa; Chordata; Mammalia; Chiroptera; Vespertilionidae
Exons: 3
Source: RefSeq, a predicted model, not a curated record
AGGAAACUGCAGUCUCUCUGUUUCUAGAACCUUCCUAAAGCACCUCUCUCCCUCCCUCCCUCCCUUUUGCCUGAGGAAGGUCACCGCCCUUGGUUUGCCUUUCUCCGUUCUCUUUCUCUUUCUCUUUCCUCCUCCUGCCACCCAGCGCCCUGGCCACAGUCACGCUUAACCUCCUCCGAUUCCAGCCUUUGCUGCCUUGCCCCUCGACCUGAUCCUGUCAUCUACUAACUGUUGUCGCUUUUUUUUCUUAGUUCUAAACAUUUAUUUGCUUUUUGGAGAUUUUGUCCAGUUUUCCUUUCCUUCCUUCCCGCUUCUAACAUAGAAUCAGCUGGGAAAAGUCACGAAGCUGAGUAGUACAGGUGUUCAAACUUUGUCUUGUUAUUAAAAAUGGCUUAUUGGGAGGAGAGAACCAAGAUGGCAGCAUAAGUAAAUGCCAGUACUCGCCGCCUCCCAUAUCCACUUCAAAAUUAAAACUAAAAUACAGAACAACCAUUAUUUGGAACUGCCUGAAAGCUGGCUGAAUGGAAGUCCUACAACUAGAGAAGUAAAGAAAGGGAGAUUGUCCCUGCAGAGGCCGCUGUGAGGAGCAGGGGGUCCCAGCCUCACACCAGAUGCCCCGCCCAGGGUCCGAGAACAGGGAAGAGAAGUCCUCUUAACUUUGGGCUGUAAGAAUCAGUGGGAAACAUGGAAACAUGGAACAGACUGACAAAUCUC